AGAGAAGACAUUCAAAAUGGAGUACAUGUGAAAGGCUUUAAGAUAAAUCACCAUUAACCUUUAAAGCAUCAGGACUGCAUUUUCUAGAGAAUCAUAGAAAAUGCUAACUCUAAAACUGCACAAAUUUUAUUUUACUUCAUUUUUCACACAAUAAACAAUCCAGAAUGUCCUAAGUGUGACCUGCGUGCUUUAGUAUCAUAAUGUUAGAAUCCCUAAAAUUAAUAUCAUCAAAUAAACAAGAUGUUUCCAAGUGGUGGGAUAGGAAUUAUGUGAAGUCUGAAGUUGAAGCUGUUGCAUCAGAAUAAUUUGAUUUGUAGUCUGGCUCCGCCACCUCCAUUAGCGAUCACAUCUUGACAGACACAGAGUUCAUCCAAUUUCAGUUCUCAUUGUGCAGAGGUAUUGAUGUUUUCAUGUUACUCUGGUCAGUCAAUAAGGUUAAAAGGAUAAAGUUUAUUUAGUUUUCAACAUUGCCUUCUUGAAGUCAAAUGUCUAUUUAAUUAAAUUUCCCAAUAUUUGGCAAGACAAGAAUGGUAGUGUCAGCUUUCUUUAGCUUAAUAUUAAAUAGCAUCUUCUGCAAUCUGGUGAAGACCAUCUGCAGUAAUAGGAAACAGAUACACUUUGAAGCCACCGACAGCAGCGGUGGGUAGGCCAAAUGCUUUGCCAAGGAGCUCAGUGAUUUCUCAGAGUUUCCUAUGUAUAUUGUCUUCCAGCCUUCAAUGUGAUAUUCCAUCUACCACUGCGUUGUGAUGAUCUCUCAAAUGCUAUUGCUUCUCAUAUUGAACAUGCAUACACAUGAGGAUACAUUAAACAUCUUUUCCAACUUCCUCUAAAUCAAAGUUAGUAAUAAUAACUUCCAAAGAGAAUGCCUUCUAAAUGUUGUUUGUAAUUUUAAUCUAGGUAUUCAUAUAAUAAUGUAAUCAUAUUUCCUUUCAUAUUUAGAAGUUAAUUUUUACAAGGUGUGUCUGUUGUGUGCAUCAGAAGGAAAAUGAUUUACAUUUAGUUUUUGGGAAAGUUAGAUGACAUCUCAGAUUAUGGAAUUUUUGCUUAAUCGGUGAAUGCCGAAUAUUUGUCUAUCAACAUGGGCACAACCCUCCAUAGCACAACUAACAGGGUGGGCAAAAUGAGAUGGAGAAAAUCCUUGCUCUCAGUCUGCUUUCUGUCUAGAGGAACAAGUUAUUAUCAAGCACAAGUACUCACUAAGUGCCAGUAGUCAUUGGACAUAUUUUUCAGC
RNAcentral lists this long non-coding RNA (1231 nucleotides) under Mus musculus (house mouse). Its description in RNAcentral is "long non-coding RNA chr5:81480673-81481904". The record is from RNAcentral. Lineage: Eukaryota; Metazoa; Chordata; Mammalia; Rodentia; Muridae.